This 401-nucleotide ribosomal RNA is filed under the name uncultured bacterium. RNAcentral describes it as "partial 16S ribosomal RNA". It matches the Rfam family "Archaeal small subunit ribosomal RNA", at positions 473 to 873 of the family's 1478-position model. The record is from RNAcentral.
AUACCGGCUGCUCGAGUGGUGGCCACUAUUACUGGGUUUAAAGCGUCCGUAGCUUGACUGUUAGGUCUCUUGGGAAAUCUUUUGGCUUAACCAAAAGGCGUCUAAGAGAUACCGGCAUUCUUGGAACUGGGAGAGGUAAGCCGUACUUCGGGGGUAGGAGUGAAAUCUUGUAAUCCUCGAGGGACGACCUAUGGCGAAGGCAGCUAACCAGAACAGCUUCGGCAGUGAGGGACGAAAGCUGGGGGAGCAAACGGGAUUAGAUACCCCGGUAGUCCCAGCCGUAAACAAUGUGCGUUAGGUGUGUCGGUUACCACGCGUAACUGAUGCGCCGAAGAGAAAUCGUGAAACGCACCACCUGGGAAGUACGGUCGCAAGGCUGAAACUUAAAUGAAUUGGCGGGG